UUCGGGUGAGUGUACCUUUCGAAUAAGCGCCGGCUAACUACGUGCCAGCAGCCGCGGUAAUACGUAGGGCGCAAGCGUUAUCCGGAAUUAUUGGGCGUAAAGAGCUUGUAGGCGGUUCGUCGCGUCUGGUGUGAAAGCCCAUCGCUUAACGGUGGGUCUGCGCCGGGUACGGGCGGGCUAGAGUGCAGUAGGGGAGACUGGAAUUCCCGGUGUAACGGUGGAAUGUGUAGAUAUCGGGAAGAACACCAAUGGCGAAGGCAGGUCUCUGGGCUGUUACUGACGCUGAGAAGCGAAAGCGUGGGGAGCGAACAGGAUUAGAUACCCUGGUAGUCCACGCCGUAAACGGUGGACGCUGGAUGUGGGGCCCAUUCCACGGGUUCCGUGUCGGAGCUAACGCGUUAAGCGUCCCGCCUGGGGAGUACGGCCGCAAGGCUAAAACUCAAAGAAAUUGACGGGGGCCCGCACAAGCGGCGGAGCAUGCGGAUUAAUUCGAUGCAACGCGAAGAACCUUACCUGGGCUUGACAUGUGCCUGUCGACUGCAGAGAUGUGGUUUCCCUUCGGGGCAGGUUCACAGGUGGUGCAUGGUCGUCGUCAGCUCGUGUCGUGAGAUGUUGGGUUAAGUCCCGCAACGAGCGCAACCCUCGCCCUGUGUUGCCAGCGGGUUAUGCCGGGAACUCACGGGGGACCGCCGGGGUUAACUCGGAGGAAGGUGGGGAUGACGUCAGAUCAUCAUGCCCCUUACGUCCAGGGCUUCACGCAUGCUACAAUGGCCGGUACAACGGGAUGCGACAUGGUGACAUGGAGCGGAUCCCUUAAAACCGGUCUCAGUUCGGAUCGUAGUCUGCAACUCGACUACGUGAAGGCGGAGUCGCUAGUAAUCGCGAAUCAGCAACGUCGCGGUGAAUGCGUUCCCGGGCCUUGUACACACCGCCCGUCAAGUCAUGAAAGUGGGCAGCACCCGAAGCCGGUGGCCUAACCCUUUUGGGAUGGAGCCGUCUAAGGUGAGGCUCGUGAUUGGGACUAAGUCGUAACAAGGUAGCCGUACCGGAAGGUGCGGCUG
RNAcentral lists this ribosomal RNA (1061 nucleotides) under Gardnerella vaginalis. Its description in RNAcentral is "bacterial SSU rRNA". It matches the Rfam family "Bacterial small subunit ribosomal RNA", at positions 464 to 1520 of the family's 1533-position model. The record is from RNAcentral. Lineage: Bacteria; Bacillati; Actinomycetota; Actinomycetes; Bifidobacteriales; Bifidobacteriaceae.